CGGGGGGCAGCAGUGAGGAAUAUUGGACAAUGGGCGCAAGCCUGAUCCAGCCAUGCCGCGUGCAGGAAGACGCAUCUAUGGUGUGUAAACUGCUUUUGUACAGGAAGAAACACUCCCUCGUGAGGGAGCUUGACGGUACUGUAAGAAUAAGGAUCGGCUAACUCCGUGCCAGCAGCCGCGGUAAUACGGAGGAUCCAAGCGUUAUCCGGAAUCAUUGGGUUUAAAGGGUCCGUAGGCGGUUUAAUAAGUCAGUGGUGAAAGCCCAUCGCUCAACGAUGGAACGGCCAUUGAUACUGUUAGACUUGAAUUAUUAGGAAGUAACUAGAAUAUGUAGUGUAGCGGUGAAAUGCUUAGAUAUUACAUGGAAUACCAAUUGCGAAGGCAGGUUACUACUAAUGGAUUGACGCUGAUGGACGAAAGCGUGGGGAGCGAACAGGAUUAGAUACCCCGGU
RNAcentral lists this ribosomal RNA (452 nucleotides) under uncultured Flavobacterium sp. RNAcentral's name for it is "bacterial SSU rRNA". It matches the Rfam family "Bacterial small subunit ribosomal RNA", at positions 342 to 791 of the family's 1533-position model. Lineage: Bacteria; Pseudomonadati; Bacteroidota; Flavobacteriia; Flavobacteriales; Flavobacteriaceae. The record is from RNAcentral.